This 419-nucleotide ribosomal RNA is filed under the name uncultured Glomeromycotina. RNAcentral's name for it is "SSU rRNA". It matches the Rfam family "Eukaryotic small subunit ribosomal RNA", at positions 675 to 1092 of the family's 1831-position model. Lineage: Eukaryota; Fungi; Glomeromycota. The record is from RNAcentral.
ACGUACUGGCAUUGUUGGUUUCUCCCUUCUGACGAACCAUGAUGUCAUUUAUUUGGUGUUGUGGGGAGUCAGGACUGUUACUUUGAAAAAAUUAGAGUGUUUAAAGCAGGCUCACGCUUGAACACAUUAGCAUGGAAUAAUGAAAUAGGACGUUUGAUUCUAUUUUGUUGGUUUCUAGGAUCGACGUAAUGAUUAAUAGGGAUAGUUGGGGGCAUUAGUAUUCAAUUGUCAGAGGUGAAAUUCUUGGAUUUAUUGAAGAUUAACUACUGCGAAAGCAUUUGCCAAGGAUGUUUUCAUUAAUCAAGAAUGAAAGUUAGGGGAUCGAAGACGAUCAGAUACCGUCGUAGUCUUAACCAUAAACUAUGCCGACUAGGGAUCGGAUGAUGUUAAUUUUUUAAUGACUCAUUCGGCGCCUUACG